Molecule: ribosomal RNA, 408 nt
Filed under: uncultured bacterium
Lineage: Bacteria
Description: partial 16S ribosomal RNA
Rfam family: Bacterial small subunit ribosomal RNA
Source: RNAcentral
GACGAACGCUGGCGGCGUGCUUAACACAUGCAAGUCGAACGAAGUGGCGAACGGGUGAGUAACGCGUAAUCAACCUGCCCUUCAGAGGGGGACAACAGUUGGAAACGACUGCUAAUACCGCAUACUGAAGGAGGGGAUGGCGUCUGAUUAGCUAGUUGGGGGGGUAACGGCCCCCCAAGGCGAGUGUCAGUAGCCGGUCCGGGGGGGUGGACGGCCAAAUUGGGACUGGGAAACGGCCCAGAAUCCUACGGGGGGCAGCAGUGGGGAAUCUUCCGCAAAGGACGAAAGUCUGACGGAGCAACGCCGCGGGAGGUAUGAAGGCCUUCGGGUUGUAAAGCUCUGUUAAUCGGGACGCGGUACCGGAAUAGAAAGCCACGGCUAACUACGUGCCAGCAGCCGCGGUAAUAC